CCCUUAGAUGUCCUGGGCCGCACGCGCGUUACACUGAUGCAUUCAACGAGCUUAUAACCUUGGCCGAGAGGCCUGGGCAAUCUUGUUAACGUGCAUCGUGAUAGGGAUAGAUUAUUGAAAUUAUUAAUCUUGAACGAGGAAUUCCUAGUAAACGCAGAUCAUCAAUCUGCAUUGAUUACGUCCCUGCCCUUUGUACACACCGCCCGUCGCACCUACCGAUCGAAGAGUUAGGUGAAUUGUCUUGAUCGAUAAGAUUUGACUAUGGUCAACUCUCGUUGUGAAAUUCUGUGAAUCUGACUGUUUAGAGGAAGGAAAAGUCGUAACA
RNAcentral lists this ribosomal RNA (325 nucleotides) under uncultured eukaryote. RNAcentral's name for it is "partial 18S ribosomal RNA". It matches the Rfam family "Eukaryotic small subunit ribosomal RNA", at positions 1470 to 1796 of the family's 1831-position model. The record is from RNAcentral.